CGUGCGAUUGGAUAAAUGGAGACAUCUCAUCUGUUUUUUGCGAGUUAUCCAACCUACAAGUAUUAAAUCUACAACACAAUGAUUUUUCACGAUUGCAUUGCAGCCUCUUGCAACUUUGUAGUCUCAAGGUCCUCAACCUGUCAUAUUGCUGUGACCUUGUAGAAUUACCAGAUCUCCCAUCAAGCAUAGCUGUGCUCCAAGCAUAUCAGUGCAAAAAGCUUAAACUUGUAGAUCUUCCAACAGAUCUUAAAUGGUUGUGGAGAAUCUCACUUCCAAUGAAUUGUAUAUUGGGUGAUAUGGAGAGAAAAGUACAAUCCAUGCUUCAGGGAAAUUCCAUUUAUGAUAACUCCAUCAGUCUCUCUUUCCAUGUUGAUAACAUUCGAUUAGAAGACUUUGCAAGGAGAAGAUUGAUGUUAGAGCUUCCAAGGAACUGGUACAACAAAUUCAGUGGAUUCUUAAUAUGCUUAAAAGUUGAAGGGAUGAUUGGCAACAAUAGUAAUGUAAUUACUAUCGAGGACGUAAUGGGUAGGGAAAAUGAAGAUGUUUUGGAGGUGUCUGAUGAUGAAACUUUCAAGUGGAUACGGGGUAAGGGUGAGGUAUACAAGUGCUAUAUAUAUAUAUCCUGCAGUUCAUUGAGGCAUACCUCAUGGUGGAAGUCAACACACAC
Molecule: long non-coding RNA, 667 nt
Organism: Cynara cardunculus var. scolymus (artichoke)
Lineage: Eukaryota; Viridiplantae; Streptophyta; Magnoliopsida; Asterales; Asteraceae
Exons: 2
Source: RefSeq, a predicted model, not a curated record